This 822-nucleotide ribosomal RNA is filed under the name uncultured bacterium. Its description in RNAcentral is "bacterial SSU rRNA". It matches the Rfam family "Bacterial small subunit ribosomal RNA", at positions 28 to 898 of the family's 1533-position model. The record is from RNAcentral.
AGCGAACGCUGGCGGCAGGCCUAACACAUGCAAGUCGAACGGAUCCUUCGGGAUUAGUGGCGGACGGGUGAGUAACACGUGGGAACGUGCCCUUUGGUUCGGAACAACUCAGGGAAACUUGAGCUAAUACCGGAUAAGCCUUUCGAGGGAAAGAUUUAUCGCCAUUGGAGCGGCCCGCGUAGGAUUAGCUAGUUGGUGGGGUAAAGGCCCACCAAGGCUACGAUCCUUAGCUGGUCUGAGAGGAUGAUCAGCCACAUUGGGACUGAGACACGGCCCAAACUCCUACGGGAGGCAGCAGUGGGGAAUCUUGCGCAAUGGGCGAAAGCCUGACGCAGCCAUGCCGCGUGAAUGAUGAAGGUCUUAGGAUUGUAAAAUUCUUUCACCGGGGACGAUAAUGACGGUACCCGGAGAAGAAGCCCCGGCUAACUUCGUGCCAGCAGCCGCGGUAAUACGAAGGGGGCUAGCGUUGCUCGGAAUUACUGGGCGUAAAGGGAGCGUAGGCGGAUAGUUUAGUCAGAGGUGAAAGCCCAGGGCUCAACCUUGGAAUUGCCUUUGAUACUGGCUAUCUUGAGUACGGAAGAGGUAUGUGGAACUCCGAGUGUAGAGGUGAAAUUCGUAGAUAUUCGGAAGAACACCAGUGGCGAAGGCGACAUACUGGUCCGUUACUGACGCUGAGGCUCGAAAGCGUGGGGAGCAAACAGGAUUAGAUACCCUGGUAGUCCACGCUGUAAACGAUGAGUGCUAGUUGUCGGCAGGCAUGCCUGUCGGUGACGCAGCUAACGCAUUAAGCACUCCGCCUGGGAGUACGGUCGCAAGAUUAAA